CUUGGUGGCUUCCAGAGUCAUCCCGCUGGCUCCUCCUGCAUGGCAAGUCCCAGUUAGCUGUACAGAAUCUGCAGAAGGUGGCUGCAAUGAACGGGAGGAAGGAGGAAGGGGAAAGGCUGACCAAGGAGGUGAUGAGCUCCUACAUCCAAAGCGAGUUUGCAAGUGUCUGCACCUCCAACUCAAUCUUGGACCUCUUCCGAACCCCGGCCAUCCGCAAGGUCACAUGCUGUCUCAUGGUGAUUUGGUAGGUGACAGGCUCAUGCCCAAGACUUUCACCUGAGGCAGGGGCAUGCUCUCUGCCCCCACUGAAAAACUCUGUUCUGAAAUACUCUUAAUGCAAUGAGCAGGUGAGCCGUGUGAACUCAAUCUCUUCCCACACCCUUUUUCCAGCACUCGGCCUCUGCUGGAUGCUGAGAUGUGGUGACAGAUGAGAUAUCAUGCUAACCCAGGAACCCCACUUCUGGGCAGUGGGUCUCACCUGGGUGGGAGGACUAUUGGAAUCACCAAGGCAGCUUU
Long non-coding RNA from Homo sapiens (human), 516 nucleotides. The record is from Ensembl. NCBI's taxonomy places the organism in Eukaryota, Metazoa, Chordata, Mammalia, Primates, Hominidae.